RNAcentral lists this long non-coding RNA (2003 nucleotides) under Canis lupus familiaris (dog). Its description in RNAcentral is "lncRNA (ENSCAFG00000034052.3)". The record is from RNAcentral. Lineage: Eukaryota; Metazoa; Chordata; Mammalia; Carnivora; Canidae.
AUAUACUAAGAGGUAAGGUGUGAGAAGUGGAGCAGAGCAUCACCAGGGCCAACAGCAGAGACCCUAAGGAGUCGGAAAGGCAUGCUCCUCCUGGACCCCGGUGAAAGCAAGCACGCAAGGCUCCGGCGAUGCGCCCCAACGGCCGGCAGGGGGCGCGCGAACUCAACGUAAAGGCUCACCUGGCGCCGCCCACCAGCCGGACCCCCGGCUGCCAGGGACGCUCUCCAGGACGACCGCAGCUGCUCCGCAGGGAGCGGGGUCUCGACCCAGCACUCUACUCAGCCCUUUACUGGCAUUGAUCCUGACCGACCACAAAGAGGUAGAGGACUAUGGAGAAUCCUUUAGCAUGUUUGGCCAUGGUGGCUUCAGUGGGCUGAAUAGCGGUCCCAGAAUGAGACUGAUUCCUUGCAAGUACCUCUUCACAUCCAGUAUGGAGUCUUCAUUGCUCAGGAGAGUCCUUCCAUCUCCAACCCCUGCACUAAGCCAAUUUCUAGGACUUCCCAAUGCUGACAAAGUCCAGUAAAGAAUUUCUCACAGCCAGUCUUAAUCCAGCCCACCUUUUACACUUGAACAUGUUUAAGAUAUGCUGGAGCAUAUAGUGGAAGACAUCAACAGUCUGCCCUCUGGAACUUGCUGCCAUCCACUGAAACAACAGAAAACAAUUGGAUACAGUUAACUGUCCAUCAGUCCGGGAUUGGUUAAAUAAUUUAUGACACACCCAUUUAUUGGGAGACAAAACAAAGUUCUCUAUUUACUAACACGGGAAGAUCUCCAAAUGAAAAAAAGCUAGGGGCAGAAUAGUGAGUACGGGCUCCUAUCUUUUAUGUAAAAGUAGAAAAAGUAUAAUAAAAGAAUAUAAUUAUAGUCUUACUAGUUUGCAUAUACAAAAAAUAAACUAGAUAGAUUUAAAAGGCAUCAGACACUUCAAAACAUGGGAAAUGUUGGAAGAAAUUAUGUCAAAAUGUACAUCUAUUCAUACGGCAAAAUUUAAAUUUACUCCUAAAUAGAGAAAUACAAGUUAAUAAAAAUAUCCAUAAAAGAAAAAUAAAUAAAAAUAAAUAUGGGAGAAAUGCACAAACAUUGCUGGUGAUCAUAUUUUGGAAAGAAAUUUUUAUACGUCUUGAAUCCUGUCCUUAGGAUUUAUCUAAAAACAGGGGAAACUUCUGUGCUGAGAUUUUAGUUUAUUGGAGUCUAUAAAACAAUGACGUACAAAGUUUUUAUUCAGGAACUAAUAAUGGGCAAAAGAAACUAUAGUAUGUGGAAUCAUGGGAAAGUCCUGUAGCCAUCUAAAAAUGUGAGUGGAUAGGGAUGCCUGGGUGGCUCCGUGGUUGAGCGUCUGCCUUCCGCCCAAGGCGUGAUCCUGGAGAGCCGGGAUCGAGUCCCACAUCGGGCUCCCUGCGUGGAGCCUGCUUCUCUGUCUGUGUCUGUCUGUCUCUCUCUCUCGGCCUGUGUCUCUCAUGAAUAAAUAAAUAAAAUCUUUAAAAAAAAAUGUGAGUGGAUAGAAGGGGAGGUGGGUGGCAGGUGGGGGUGACUGGGUGAUGGGCACUGAGGGGGGCACCUGAUGGGAUGAGCACUGGGUGUUCUAUAUGUUGGCAAAUUGAACACCAACAAAAAAUAAAUAAAUAAAAAUAUAAAUAAAAUAAAAUGAAAUAAAAAUAAAAAUGUGAGUGGAGAACAAUUACAACGGAAUUGCACUGCACAGCCAAAACCCAGGCUAUACUGUUCAUGUGCCGUGGUCACAAUUUGGUAUUUAGAGACCCAUGAUCCGUGUAUUAAACGACUAGUAAUUUGAAUAUGUGAACCAAAAUGGUAACUGAGGUGUAGGAUAAAAAUCAUAGCCCAAGUGCUUUAUCGAGGAACAGUUUUAAGCAUCUUGCCCCCAGGGCCGCCGCCUCUUCCCCGUUGCCUUCCCAUCUAUACAAAAGCCGCACGUCAUCGUUAUUCAAAAGGCAGAAGCCAGGAAGUGUAAAUCUUUAAAAAAAAAAAAAAGUAUGAACUUAGGA